AAAAAAAAAAAAAGAAACAAAUCUUCAAAGGGAAGACUGUUUUAGCCCAUUCAAAAUAAAAGAGCAAAAAGUUUUUCAACAUAUUUUAAUAUUUACCAAAAACACUUGAGAACCAUAAGUUAUCGGCAAUUACUUAUUAUUACUUUCAAAAGCUUACAAAUAAUCCUGUUAAAUUCGGAGAGACUGCUGGUCAAAUAAUGUAUUAAUUAAAUUUUAAUCUGGGAUUAUAUAAGUGAUUUGAGUUACUUUACACAUUAAAAU
This 261-nucleotide unclassified non-coding RNA is filed under the name Hevea brasiliensis (rubber tree). The record is from RNAcentral. Lineage: Eukaryota; Viridiplantae; Streptophyta; Magnoliopsida; Malpighiales; Euphorbiaceae.